CGGGUCGCAGCGGAUUGGUCAAGCAGGGGAAGCCAUGGCGGACCAUAGCAACAAAAGCUGACUACUCUCUUGUCUCAACCCCCUGGUGGCCAUUUGGUGAAGAGCACACUCUGUGGUUCAUGCAAGCAAACACUACAUUGCUGGAAUGGCUGACAUUUUCACUGAGGCUUCUUUGAUUAUGGGCCGAAUGCAGCCGUCAGGAAUGAGGAUUAUCUGACUGGUGCCGUGACCCCAGCUGUCCUCAGCAUGGCCAGCCAUCUGAGUUAAAACUCAGUUUACAGGAGGUGCUGUCAUCUGCAGGACACAAUAAACCAGCUUCAUCACUAUCUGUCAAGGAUGGAGUGGAAGUGACAACACACCCUUCCAGUUGUGUAGCACUGUGGCUCAGGGUGUGACUUUAUAAGUAAUAGGUGAAGGUGUGUGUGGAGCCGUGUGUGUGUGUUGCCUCCUGCUUCACACAGACACAGCAGAAGAUUCAGCUUUGAAGCAUGAUUACACUAGUCUAUCAGACUGAAAACAUUCGUCCUCUGAGCAAGGCUGUCCUGUUAGCUGUGGGUUUUGCGUGUCUCUCUUCCUAACUCUUACAUAGAUUGUCUGCAAGGACAAAUGAUUUCAUUGUCACAACAACUUGUACAAGACAAAAAAAACACGCAUUUACUGUUUUUUUCUACUCGUAGGGGAACUAAAAAAUAGACAUAUUUAGACUGAACAGCAUGUUGAUAUUUGCAAGCAGCCUCAAUAUUUGAUCAGCCAUGUCAACAAUGCAUGGUGCCUUGUAAAAGUGUUAAUAUCCCUUGAAUUAUUUCACAGUUUGACACAAUAAAGUCAGAAACCUCAAAGUAUUUUAUUCUGAUUUUAUGUGAUCCAUCAAAUUUUGUAAAUUGUAUUUCUAAUAGAAAUCAUUAUUAGUGUGGCCUGCACUAAUUAUUAAAUCCAGAUAUGUAGAGUGUAUAUAUUAUGUUUAUGGUAAAUAGGAAAUGGCCUGUACUUGUAGCGCUUUUUAAAAUCAGAGGACUCCAAAUAGCUUUACACUACAAUCAGCCAUCUUUCCAUUCAUGCACACAUUCACACACUGACAGUGGUAAGCUACAUUGUAGCUACAGCUGCCCUAGAGCAGACAGACAGAAGUGAGGCUGCCAUACAAUCGGCACCACUGAGCCCCUCUGACCACCAUCAGCAGGCAAGUUGGGUGAGGUGUCUUGCCCAAGGACACAAUGACUAAAAGGGCCGGAGUGGGGAUUUGAACUGGUCCACCUGAGCCACCAUCACCCCUGUUGUCCUGUUGACAGAUCCCCCCCCAUUCAGCUGUGGAUCUCUGCAGCUCCUCCAGAGUUACCAUGGGCCUCUUAAGCUGAAUCUCUUAUUAACUGUCUCCUUGACCAGCCUGUCAGUUUAGGUAGAUGGCCAUGGCUUGGUAGGUUAUGUUGUUCUCUUUCGGUUCUUAGAUGAACUGAAAAGUGCUCAAUAAAAAUGUUCAAAGGAUGUGACAUUGUGUUGACCUGUGGUUCAGACUGUUAGAAAGUGGACUGAUGACUCAAAGCAGAUGUUACAGGCCUGCUUUGACUGCACAGUUUGG
Molecule: long non-coding RNA, 1576 nt
Organism: Girardinichthys multiradiatus
Lineage: Eukaryota; Metazoa; Chordata; Actinopteri; Cyprinodontiformes; Goodeidae
Exons: 3
Source: RefSeq, a predicted model, not a curated record